This 422-nucleotide ribosomal RNA is filed under the name uncultured bacterium. RNAcentral's name for it is "bacterial SSU rRNA". It matches the Rfam family "Bacterial small subunit ribosomal RNA", at positions 355 to 774 of the family's 1533-position model. The record is from RNAcentral.
UAAGGAAUAUUGGUCAAUGGACGCAAGUCUGAACCAGCCAUGCCGCGUGGAGGAUGAAGGUCCUCUGGAUUGUAAACUUCUUUUAUCUGGGACGAAACACUUCUUUUCUAAGAGGCCUGACGGUACCAGAUGAAUAAGCACCGGCUAACUCCGUGCCAGCAGCCGCGGUAAUACGGAGGGUGCAAGCGUUAUCCGGAUUCACUGGGUUUAAAGGGUGCGUAGGUGGGUAUGUAAGUCAGUGGUGAAAUCCCCGAGCUUAACUUGGGAACUGCCAUUGAUACUAUAUAUCUUGAAUACCGUAGAGGUAAGCGGAAUAUGUCAUGUAGCGGUGAAAUGCUUAGAUAUGACAUGGAACACCAAUUGCGAAGGCGGCUUACUAUGCGGUGAUUGACACUGAGGCACGAAAGCGUGGGUAGCAAACA